UUCAAAAACAUUACGCACAGCACCGCGGCCGGACCACGCUCGAUUACUCGACUGAAAUAACCUUUUUUUUUUCGCACAUCCUUGGAGAGCGGACGCAGUGCGGACGAUCCCACCAUUGCAGAUGGGGGCGCACUGAAUCUACACAGUUGGAGCCUCAGAUUUUCUCCAUCACGUCAAGCCUGUGAUCACAAAGCCCAGAAUCUCAUAACCCCUAACAAAACUAAAGCUGUGGAAGAGGAGCAUCUUGAAGGAGAAUCAUUUUUGCUGAUCACCAUCACCCUGCUCUACGCUUUUAGCCUCUUUACGGUGCUGCCUUGUCUAAUAAUGUUCAAGCAGCAUUGUACAGGGCUAUGACAGCAUAGAGAGCUGAUCUGCGCUUCCUCAAUAGACCCAACAUUUGCUGCCAACCAGAGCCGGCCAGGAGCAGAAGCGAAAUCAGCCGCUGCUGCCCCUAAAACCGUUUUACUUGUAAUACAGAUGAUAAGAAUCAGUUUAUUUGUAAAAACGUGAGUCUGCUUGAAAUUCAGGCGAUAGUUGUCCCUUUGUAAAUGAAGUAUCUUAAUGUCUGUAAACCUUCUUUGAUGACCAAAACUGUAUUCCCCCCCCCCCCCCCCC
Xiphophorus maculatus (southern platyfish) is the source of this 615-nucleotide long non-coding RNA. RefSeq lists it as uncharacterized. Lineage: Eukaryota; Metazoa; Chordata; Actinopteri; Cyprinodontiformes; Poeciliidae. The record is from RefSeq and is a predicted model, not a curated record. The transcript has 3 exons.